This 119-nucleotide ribosomal RNA is filed under the name Aegilops tauschii subsp. strangulata. The record is from RNAcentral. Lineage: Eukaryota; Viridiplantae; Streptophyta; Magnoliopsida; Poales; Poaceae.
GGAUGCGAUCAUACCAGCACUAAAGCGCCGGAUCCCAUCAGAACUCUGAAGUUAAGCGUGCUUGGGCGAGAGUAGUACUAGGAUGGGUGACCGCCUGGGAAGUCCUCGUGUUCCAUUCC